Molecule: ribosomal RNA, 460 nt
Filed under: uncultured bacterium
Lineage: Bacteria
Description: partial 16S ribosomal RNA
Rfam family: Bacterial small subunit ribosomal RNA
Source: RNAcentral
CCUACGGGUGGCAGCAGUGAGGAAUAUUGGUCAAUGGACGAGAGUCUGAACCAGCCAAGUAGCGUGAAGGAUGACUGCCCUAUGGGUUGUAAACUUCUUUUAUACAGGAAUAAAACGAGGCACGUGUGCCUUAUUGUAUGUAUUUUAUGAAUAAGGAUCGGCUAACUCCGUGCCAGCAGCCGCGGUAAUACGGAGGAUCAGAGCGUUCUCCGGAUUUAUUGGGUUUAAAGGGAGAGUAGAUGGGUUGUUAGUGCAGUUGUGAAAGGUUGGGGCUCAACCGUCACAUGGCAAUGGAUACUGGCAGGCUUGAGUACAGUUGAGGUAGGCGGAAUUCGUGGUGUAGCGGUGAAAUGCUUAGAUAUCACGAAGAACCCCGAUUGCGAAGGCAGCUUACUAAACUGUGACUGACAUUGAGGCUCGAAAGUGUGGGUAGCAAACAGGAUUAGAUACCCGAGUAGUC